This 241-nucleotide ribosomal RNA is filed under the name Blastocystis sp. RNAcentral's name for it is "partial 18S ribosomal RNA". It matches the Rfam family "Eukaryotic small subunit ribosomal RNA", at positions 87 to 348 of the family's 1831-position model. Lineage: Eukaryota; Bigyra; Opalinata; Blastocystidae. The record is from RNAcentral.
CUGCGAAUGGCUCGUAUAUCAGUUAUAGUUUAUUUGCAGAAGAAUACUAAUUGGAUAACCGUAGUAAUUCUGAGCUAAUACAUGUAUAAAGUCUUGUAGACUGCAUUUAUUAGAAUGAAAACCAUAGGUUUCGGCCUAUUCGUGAGUAAUAAUAACUAAUCAUAUCGUAUGCUUACGUAACGAUGUGUCUUUCAAGUUUCUGCCCUAUCAGCUUUCGAUGGUAGUGUAUUGGACUACCAUG